GUUUGUACAAAUUAUUUUAAAGUAGCAAAGCAAGGUCGAAGAAGAAAUCUAAAAUCCAAAUUAAUACUUCUGAAACUUUGUGGAAAUCGCUGUUUUAAACUAAUUAUAUUUAUAAAUUUCUUCUUUGCGUAAUCAUCGACUAGAAAUGUCAGCCUCAGCUGAAAUGAAGAGACUACCAAAACCUCAAAUGCGGGGUUUAUUGAAAGCAUAUAUUUCAAAGCAUUUGGCAAUUGCUACAGUUCUUGGAUUCGCUGGAUCCAUGGCAUGGAAAUUCCUAGUCGCAGAUCCUCGAAAACGUGCUUACGCUGAAUUUUACAAAACUUAUGAUGGUGAUAAAGAUUAUGAAAGAAUGAAAAAUCUAGGAAUUCUGCCGCCCUUUCCUCAAUUUGAAAAGGAAGAAGAAUAAUUUACUGUUAGAUUUACAUCUUUAUUCACUGGCACUGCUGUAACCAAGAUAAAUUAUUCUCAUUCGUCUGUUUUGUAAAAUAUGUAUUCAGUUAUUAAAUAAAGUACUGGAAUUCCUUACUUAAA
This is a non-coding RNA of Parasteatoda tepidariorum (common house spider), 531 nucleotides long. Lineage: Eukaryota; Metazoa; Arthropoda; Arachnida; Araneae; Theridiidae. The record is from RefSeq and is a predicted model, not a curated record.